This 254-nucleotide ribosomal RNA is filed under the name uncultured bacterium. RNAcentral's name for it is "partial 16S ribosomal RNA". It matches the Rfam family "Bacterial small subunit ribosomal RNA", at positions 524 to 776 of the family's 1533-position model. The record is from RNAcentral.
UACGAAGGGGGCUAGCGUUGCUCGGAAUGACUGGGCGUAAAGGGCGCGUAGGCGGUCGUGACAAGUCACUUGUGAAAUCUCCGGGCUUAACUCGGAACGGUCAAGUGAUACUGUCGGACUAGAGUACAGAAGGGGCAACUGGAAUUCUCGGUGUAGCGGUGAAAUGCGUAGAUAUCGAGAGGAACACCUGCGGCGAAGGCGGGUUGCUGGGCUGAUACUGACGCUGAGGCGCGAAAGCCAGGGGAGCGAACGGG